ACUGCCGUGUUCAAGUCAGUUGACAACGUCUAUCAACUUGCUUUCAGCCCUUCCUGUUUUGGUAUUAACAUGGAAAAAAUUCUGUAAAGAUGUGUAUUCCUCUAAAAUAAACCUAAAUCCUAAUACCAAAUGAACUGAUGCUAUAAAGUUAUGGAGUACUAUAUAUAUAAUAUUUAAAACAAUUCGCUGAUAUCUCUGAAGGUUACCUUAUACAUUCAAAAGUUUAAUAACUACCCACGGAAGUAGAAUUCAAAUUGACAGGCAAGGCAAUGAGUGACCGCGAUAACUUGGUGCCUAUUGCCGCAGGGCUCCUGGUAGGCGCCGGAGUCCUUGCCCUAAUCUAUAAAUUCUAUUUCACGGGCUGCCGAGGAAAUCUCAAAGACACCUACAACCAACAGCAGAGUGCCCCCUAUAAAUGUACUUGUAAAAAGAAUUCCAAGUCACCAACGCCUCCGAUUCGAUUUGGCUACACCUGGGAACCUAACCUGUAUCUGUUCGUUUUGAGCAUCUAGACAACCACCGCUACUACUGAGACAGAAGUGGGAUCCAACGAUCCCCUAUCGUUGCAUCUGUUAUGGACCAGUGUAAAAUUGCACAGGAAAGAAGGAGGUUUCCGUAAUAGAAAAAAGACAAUACCUAUAGAAGAAAAUAUUAUCCUGCCAGCUGUCAGCAGCUGUUCUAUAAGCGAUGUCCACGUCAAGUCUGUGCAAUGGACAAUUCUAAUUUACAACAAUAAUUAAAUAAAUAAAAAUAAUAAUAUGAACCGAAAAAUGGAUGUGAAAUAAAAUGAAAUUGAUGUUUUACGCCCAGCCUAAAUUAUGUGUGAUUGUUUGGAGGAAAGACAAAAAAGGGAAAAAGAAGCGAAAGAAGCGCAGGAUAAGAUCAGAGAGGCUGCAGCUGCGGCUAGAAAAGCGUCUUCGAAGUCUACAACUUCAGUUGCCUCCAGCGCAAGCACAUGUACAGCCACCUGCAAAUCGGCCGCAGGGCGCACCAGUGCCAGCACCGCACCCGCUGAGCCUCGCCCCAAGCCCCCAAUACAUGACUGUGUAAAUCCAAAGAAAAAGCCGCCUCCGCCACGCAGUCCCAUCUUCUUUUGGAUGGGCGUGCUUUUCGGAACAAUAUUGUUGUACUUUGGCUUUGCAUACCUACUCUGCACUUUGAAGGGGUUUGAUUGGAGGUCGCGUCUAGAGACCAUCCGCGCCAUCUUUUGUGAUCCUUGUGCCACCAUGGAGUUUGUGUAUGGUCUUUUAGCAGCUAUUCGCACACGCGUCGGGGGUGCGCUCGGCGGUUUAUUUGGAGGGAAGAAGAAAUCCGCUGUUUGUCGUCCAAAACCGCCAUCUCCUUGUUAAAAUGUCCAAGAUAAAUUACUACAACAGCGCUCCUUAUUUAUUCUGAUAAGUUAGCUAUUAAUUAAUAUGUCCUUUCCAUAUACCUGUCCAAAAUAAAAAUUAUACUAUUGUGUCCAUC
Molecule: long non-coding RNA, 1467 nt
Organism: Plodia interpunctella (Indianmeal moth)
Lineage: Eukaryota; Metazoa; Arthropoda; Insecta; Lepidoptera; Pyralidae
Exons: 5
Source: RefSeq, a predicted model, not a curated record